This 175-nucleotide unclassified non-coding RNA is filed under the name Cetraspora nodosa. Its description in RNAcentral is "partial internal transcribed spacer 2". The record is from RNAcentral. Lineage: Eukaryota; Fungi; Glomeromycota; Glomeromycetes; Diversisporales; Gigasporaceae.
AAAAUAAAUCGUAUAUCUUUGAUGUUACGGAUCUGGGUUAUCCGAUUCUUAAAGUCGGUUACCUAAAAUUAAAUUUUAUGUAGUGUGUUAAGCGUACUAAUUAAGUUCGUUAACUACUUACUACACAUUUAUUACGCUAUCUUUAAAUUAUUUAAGUGAUAGUGUAUAAAAUUGA